This 2056-nucleotide long non-coding RNA is filed under the name Androctonus crassicauda. Lineage: Eukaryota; Metazoa; Arthropoda; Arachnida; Scorpiones; Buthidae. The record is from RNAcentral.
GGAGUUUCCGAUGAAUCUCUUAGCAGAUAAAAAUCGAACAGCUGAAUUUAUUUUAGGAAUGUUUUCCGCUCUCGUUUUCUAGUGUCGGCAGUGAUUUCACUUGGCCACUUUUCAAUUUGUGUUUUCGGAAACAUUUUUGUAGGAUUUAGAAAAAAAAAAAAAUGAUCGAGUUUUCGUUUACUUCGCGCUCCUCUUUUGAUCUUUGGUCGUUUUUAUCUGGGAGUUGUGCACGAUUUUAUUUCCUUAAGAGCUAUACAGAUGUACAGCUGUUUUGAUACUUGCGGUUCUGAUUUUUCCUGGUUGGGAGGUUGGAGUGAUCAAACUCACGUGACGUCUGACGUCAAGCCAAAAGGCGGAGAGUUGUCACUUCUUUGCUGCAGUCUCGUUUGGCUGACAGGUAGUCUGCUGAAACGGCCUCGUUUAGUACUGUAUAUACUUGUAUCGUUCACUGUUGUUGUUUUUGUUACUGGCUAUAAAAGGUAAGUAUCGGGGUUAGAGUAUCUAACACUCGGCUUUUAUAUCUACAUCGUGUUGUGCUUCACUAAAACGAUAUCGCGGCUUCUUAACUAGACGACUUUUUCGAUUUUUCUCCGAGACGAAUAGGAUCGUAUUCGUUUUCCUUAUCGCUUUCUACAUCUCUCCUUUAUGCUGAUUCAUCGUGUCUUAACAAUACGGGUGCUAAUGAUGCUUGAGAAAUCCGUAUUGAGUAAUAUGCGUCGGAACUUUACUAGGUACAAGCGAUGUUGAAGACUGACGAAAAACCGAAUUUAGGAUUUAUCAGCGAGGUUUCGGAAAUGAAAAUAUUCGCCAAGCAAUCCAGGAGAACGAAAAUUGAUCGAACGGUUAGAUACGAGUCGGGAGAGCAGAUGAUUUUAAAAAGCACGUGGCCCACGCGUGACGUUGCCAUUCCUAUACUUGGAGGUAAUCCUAUCGAUUUUUCACUAAACUCGGGAAGCUGUAGAUCAGACUGUCAAUACUCAUUCAUCGAACGGCACUAAUUUUGUCUGGGUGUGGUCCGUCGCCCCCCUUUUCGCCGUUAUUCUCUCGGGACUCAUCGAUUUUCGACUUUCCGAUUAAUAGCAUUAAUCAUAAACCGUGGCUGGAUUUUUCGGGAAUUUUACAAACUCUGUUCGGCUCCACUUCUGUAUGUCUUAGCAAUUUCGAUGUGUAGUCAGUCAACAUUUGAGAUAAAUAUACCCGAGAGAAUCGUACACUGUCAUUACGAUAGAAAGCAAAUAACAGGUUUGUAGGCGCUAGUACACACGAAAACGUGAUCGUAUCGACAUCCAUUCCUUGAUGUAUUUUUAUUCGGCAUCUCGGCUUCUUUAGAGUAUAAUCGGGCAAAAUUCAGUGAAUGGUGAUUCUAAAUCAAGAAUGGCUUUGAUGAACUGCGUCGAUGGAUGACCUUGGCUGGAGUUGUUGUCCUCAGCUUGGAACCAAAGUACAUCUUUGUUUCCAUGACUCACGUGUGAAACACGUCGUUUCUCGGUACAUAGAUUACGUCAAUCUUUAUUAAUUUUAUAGCAUUUACUCAGAACACACUUAACAAAAUUUUGUAUGAUGAGUAAGUCUACUCAUACAGGAGCUCGCCAGUAAUCUUUACACACGUUUAAACAACGUCUUACGGAAGCCGAACAUCAAUUUUCUUUUAAUUUUUUUCGAAUAGAAACUUGAUGUCAGUUCUUCUAAAUAAGAAAUGUUUGUCAUUUUUCAUAAUGCAAAUAAUAAUAAUUAUAAAGCGCAUCUCUAAUUAUGCUACUUUAUAGUUAGCCAAUUUUAACAACUCUAUCAUUUUUGUAAAGUGAAAAUAGUCCAGUUGCCCAAAAAUUGGUGCGCUUUCCGGAUUACAUCGCAUUCCUAUUCUUGCGUUAAAGUACAUUUUCCGUUCAAACUAUAAUUUAUUAUUGAUCGAAAACAACGAUGUCGAACCAACUAAAUAUCACAUCACUGGACUGGAUGUAGGCCAAAAGUAUAGUUUUCUGGUUUCCAAUUCCCCUUUAUGUGGUAAUAUUUUUUUUUCCUCUUUUAUCUUUCAAGAUAUUUUUUUCCUGUAGAC